AUCAAAGGUUAAUUUAUUAUUGAAGAAAGAAAAAUGUCUCUAUCAAUGAAUAUAGCCUAAGGAUACGGGGUUUAUGAAGUCUACAGUAGUGUACAGCAGUGUCCUAGGCCUUCAUGUUCAUUCAUCAGUAGGUGCACUCACCAACGGACCCAGAGCAACUCCAGUCCUAUAAGCUGCAGUCAUAGUAAGUGCCCUACACAGGUGUACCAUUUUUAAUCCUUUUACCAUUUUUAUUGUACCUUUUCUGUUUAGAUGUGUUUAGAUACACAAAUACUUACUACUGUGUUCCAAUUGCCUAUAGUAUUCAGUACAGCAACAUGCUGAAUGGGUCUGUAGACUAGGAGCAAUGGGCUAUACUAUACAGCCUGGGUUUGUAGUAGGCUAUACCAUCUCAGUUUGUGUAAAUACAUUCUAUGAUGUUCACACAAUGUCAAAAUUGCUUAAUGAUGCAUUUCUCAGAACCCAUCUUCAUUGUUAAGUGACAUAUGACUGUAUAUUAUAAAGAGGCCAAACCCACGCCUGAUGUAUGUCAGCAUGCCUGAGUUACUUAACACAAGGUCUGAGACACAGAGGAUGCUUAUAAUACUGACUAAAUGACUAAUUAAAAAGUUAUUUCCACUAAAUUUUGAAUCAUAUUGUAUCCUUGUUUUGGCAGCAGAUUUACAUCCUUAAUUCUAUCUUGCUUAGCUAAAAUUAACAGGUUUACAUUUUUCAAGUAAACUCUAGAAAUUAGUUGCUUAGAUGCCUGCUAAGUGAUGGGAUCAAGGGAGGCUAAGCUCUAAAGUUUGUCAAGAAAAAGCUACAUGUGAAUAAUUAGGAGUUGCUAGUUAAGCACUCAAACUUUUUUUUUUUUUUUUUUUUUUUGGUGAUAAACUGUAGGAGUUUCUCGGGUCUAAAGGAAGACACAGGAUGUCUUCAGAGAUUGGAGCCACAUUUGGGCCAGGAGCAACUAUUUAAAGGACUCCGCGUCGCUAAAACAAUAAGAAUAGUAUAAAAAAGUACCCAUGUAUUUGGUUGUUUUCUGGACAGGUAAACCCAAGUCUUAAGUAAGGGCCAUGAGUACAGAUGACCACAGAAAAGUUUCCAAAGGAAACCCUGAGUGAGCAAGCUUGACUGUAGUCUACUAUAGACUUUAAAAAUAUCCAUUUGUAUUUUUAGGAGUUCUUACAAAUAUUAAUCCACCAUAAAAGUAAUAACAGCAAGGCCUUGAAAGUUAAUGAUAAUGAAAGGCAAUUUUUAAAUUUUUUUUUAGAGAAAGGGUCUCCCUUAUUGCCCAGGCUGGAAUGCAGUAGUAUGAUCAUAGCCCACUGUAACCUUGAAUUCCCAUGCUCAAGCAAUCCUCCCACCUCAGCCUACCGAGUAGCUGGGACCACAGGCACAUGCCACAAUGAUUGGCUAACUUAUUUUUAUUUUUCUGUAGAGACAGGGUCUCACUAUGUUGCCCAAGGUGGAAAGGCAAUAUUUUUUAAGGUACUAUGUGCUAGGCACUAUGUAAGCUUAAAUCUUGCUGAGCUUCAUAUCUUAGCUACAUCUCUUUUGAUCCUUACAACAAUCCUAUGAAGUGAGUAAUAUUAACAUCCCUAUUGACAGAAUGAGGCUAUGAGAAACUAAGUCACUCCAGUUCACAUGGUUAGUUACUGACACAGCCAGGGUUCGAAACCAGGCCAACUGAGUUUUAACCACUACUCCAAUUAGCUUUCUCUGGGCUUAUCAUGUCUCUCAUGUCAAAUAACGUGUUAUUCUGCCAGCCCACAAGAGUCUUGAGAGCUCAAAGGCCCAUCUCUGGGAGGAUACCGAUGGAAGUGUGUCAUGAGGAUCUUAUCACUCAUCUGAGCUCUGCAUGUCACUCAGGCUCCAUACUCGGCUUCCUCUGUUCUGAUGUACAGUGAUAACCCAGGGCAAGGGGUUUCCAGAAAGACAGCACAUACUCUGGCUCAGCAAGUUACUUAAUCUCACUCAACUGGCCCAGCAGCUGGAUUCACGCAAGUCAGGUGGCCUGGAACUGAUCCUCUCUGGUUGUAGAAUUAAAAAUCUGGCAAGGAUUGGAAAGAUAGUUUACUUAAUAGGGCCUCAAGUAUAGGAAAGCAAUUGAAGGGUGAUUGCAGUGAUAGAAUCACUUGAGAGAGGGAGGUAGGGAAACUGUAAGUUACUAUAAAGUUGUGACCUUAUUUUAAACUAGAAAACUUAGUGGUCUCUUAUGUCUUUUGACUUUCAAGCAUUCCUGUGAGAGGGCUGGCAUAAAUGAUUGUUAAUGCUGUUGAUGGGAAAUUUAAAGUAGGAGGAAUCUGCCUACUGGCUUUUAAGAAAAGGUGAUUUCCUGCAAGAUGACCUAAUUGGUUAGGAAACAGAUAAGUGAACCUUCUCUAUGUUCACUUUAAGAGGAAGUUCUAAAAAUUGAGGUGCUCACUCCCUCUCUCUCCUUUUUGAUGAUUGUGAUAUUUAGACCUGCCAAAGCAGUAUAACUUCAUUGUCUGGAAUUUGGUUAAUUCCAAUGCAAAUACAAAAAUCAAAUACGUGAACUGAGCUUUGAAAAUAUUUUCAUUUUUGAGGAUUUUCAUUGUUAUGGGAUUGAGCCUGUAGAAGUCUCUGUGUAAGCUACAUAGAGCAAAUCUAAUCUACUCACACUGAAGUCAGGGCUCUGUAAAAGACUGUGGGAACAUUCAUUCUCCACUCUCUCAGAGACUCUUUUAGAUGGCACUGGCUGAGGCAGAAUGAAUACAGCUGCUGAUUCUGAUCUCACACUGGGUAUAUCCCUGAGUGCUGGAAAAAACAUCACCCUCAGAAGUGUGCAUUCAGCCAGCUGCCUUUGGAGAGAGCUGGGAAGGGUGCAAAGUGGCAUGUCCUUUACCAGUCACUCUUUCUGGGCCAAUGCUUAUCCAGAAAUGAGACAGAACUAUGGGUUUACUGCAAAUGACCAGCAUCCGCAAAGUGAUCAAGACUACCAACUUUGGGUAAUGUGUCCCACAUCUCAGAUGUCAGUUGAUAUAAGACAUUACAGUAAAGAAUUAUGAGGUAACACUUUGGGAUAAUUAUUGUUUUCCAGGCUAAACACCUUACAUACAUUAUCUCUGUGAGGGAGGUACCAUUAUCAUACCAAUUUUCUAGUGAAGGAAGCUGCGCUACAAAGAAAGUGAUUUGCCCAAGGCCACCUGGCAAGUGGCAGAGUCAGGAUUUAAACCCCAGAGUCUGAUUCAUUAUUUUUCUUUUCAUUGUUUCUUUUGGCCAUUUAGAUAUUACAAGAAUGGCCAUUAAUCUCCCUUUCUAGGAGGGAAAAUGCAUGGAAACUACCCCCUCCCCGCCCCAAUUUUCUGGACAUCCCAUUCAUUUUCUUUUCCUCAUUAAAUUAUAAUAUUCAGUUUCUUAUUCAGAGUCAUUUGGGCCUUUCUAGAAAAGCAUAUUUUAAUAAUGUUCUCUCCCUAUUGUUGGGAAACUCUUAGUCAUACGACAGGUUUCUAGAAAUUGAUACCAAAAGAAAAAUAAAUCUCCAGGUUUUCUCCAACUGAAAAUAUGUAAGGUGAUCCCAGUUGCCAAAAUCAUGACUGGCUUUCCUUCUAUGACUAUCAUCUCCACAUCUGGUUCACCUUCUUUGCCAGAAGUACAUGAUCAUAUAUCUUUCUGUAUCUUAGGAUGUUUCACUAUUUUAUGACAUUUCUAAAUAGAAUCGCUGUGUUAAUCAUCAUUAUAAUCUGAUAAUUACAUUAUUUAUUUUAUCAGUGUUCACUCUGCAAUGAAAAAAUGAACCAGCAGAAGGUGAAUGUGAAAGACUAAGAAGAGCCCUGCAGAAAACCCGUUAGCCCAUGUUUUCAUCUGUAAUGUGGAUGUGGGAUAGGAAGAGGGACAACGACAUAGUACCGACCAGGUUCCAGAAACUAUUCCAAGUGCUUUACGUGAUAAAAAUCUCUUAAUUGUCUCAACGACCAUACGAAGUAUAUCUCUAGUGUUGCCCCUAUUUUAUAGAUGACAAAACCUUACUGAUAUCUGUAUAGCUAGUAAGUAGGAGAGACAGGAUUCAAUCUGUCAGCCCAACUCUGCCGGUGCCCGUGUCCCUGCUCUGUGAUCCUGACAGGCAGCCACAGCCAGGAGUCCGUCCUUGUUUUAGAUAUUUCCCAUGUCUGCUGCUCAACUAGACCCUAACGGUGGAUUCUUGGUACAUCCUUACCCAAGGAUAACCCAUAAGUUUUCAUGACAUUACCACGGACUCGUCUUGCUUGUGAAACCAAGUAAUAGUAAAAACAGAAGAAUCAUGUGUUAAAAAUUUUUUGAAGUAAAUGAUUCUGUCAUCAUUAUUCUUAAAGAAAGUGAUGUACCCAAGGUCACACACUUAGUCACUGGUCAGUCCUGGGGCAAACACCCCUUGAUGUCCAGCCCUUGAGUCAGGAUGAUUGCUUCAUCUAGAAGGCACCAUGGGCACUCUGCCUGAAUCCAGGAACCUCUGGAGUUGUAUAUGGCUCUGUCCAAGACAAAGGAAUCCGCUGUACCAGAUCCACAGAAGCCCUGGCUCUAAAUUAAAAACAGCACAACAACAACAUUGCAGCAACAACAAAAUAGUAAUACAAUAAAAGGUGGGAAGACCUCGAGAGCAUAAAAAUUUCCUUAAACUGAUCAUCAAGGAAAGGAAAGGGAGGAUUCCUUCUUUAAAGAGGCAAGUGCCUGCCAGCAGGAACCUAAAACUCAUUAUUAUUCUGUAUUUUCUUUUUUCAUGACUAAAAAGUUUUUCUAUCCUCCCCCUUCCUAUCCCUAUCAAAAGACUACCCCCUCCACAAGACAAUCACAAACUUUAAAAGUAGCAAGCCCUCACUUCAAACAAAAUGUAAAAAUAAAAAUUCAAAAACCCAUAGUGUUUGCAAAACAGCUUUGUAUGGAGGAAGGGCAAAUCUUAUCUUAAGAGAGGCUAAUUUCAUAGGAAUCGGGCAAAGAGAGGAGAGGUAGAAAGGGUGGGAGCACAGAAGAAGGGGAGGCGGGAGAGGAGGGGAUAAAGGAGGAAGAAUCGCUGGCUUUAAAAAGCAACAUUGUCCAGAGAGGUGAAAGGGAACAGAUGGCCGUGGAGAAUGUGGCCCUCAAAGCCUGAAGAAAGGGGGGGAUGCCGACAGAUCUUGCUGUUUCCCAUUGAUGCCUGAAUGUUCUGGUGCGGGGAGCCGAGGCCAGUGCAGGGGACGGACCUCUGUUCCCAGCAGCUCACUGGGGCACUGGCGCUGAGGCUCACUGAGAAAAAGAGCAGGCGGGGGUGAGGGGGGCUGGAGGCAGCUGUGGCUGCAGAGGGAAAGGACAGUGGGCAGCAUCGGAGACGUGCGGCUUCCACAGCCUUCUCUUUUGGCCCAGCCCAGGGAGGUCAGCCCAGUGCUGGUCUUUGCCCUGGCAGAGGUGAAGUAAAGGACAGGAGCCCGGGCCCAAAGCCUCAGCAUCCUUCCCCUCAAAACCCACUGGGGGAGCCCUGUCUGGGAUAAAGUAGAUACCUUGGGAGAGGGAAAUGAAGAAAAUAUUCCAAAUGCUUUCAGAGGAUUGAGACAUUCAAAUUAAAAUAAACAAGAAAUCUGGGUCUCUGAAAAAGGUCAGAGAAUCCUGCCAAGGAAACCUUAUAUUAUUUCAUGGAGUCUCAAGGCAGAGAAGUGAUUUGCUGAGAAAAACAAAAAUGAGUUGGUGGCAAACCCAGGAAGGAAUCCAAGAGUCAGUUUCAGAGGACUGAGUCAGCCCCCAAAGAGGUUCAGGAUUCAAGGUGGGCCUCCCUGGUCAUUGCUUGUAGCUGUGCCACACCGGAGGAUUGUUACUGGAGACUCACAAGUCAGUACAGGGCAGCACUAAUACAGGAACCUCUGGCCAGCUGGCGAGCCCGUCCUUCCUGGAGGGAAAAGCCCAGCAGCCCCUGCAGAUGGAGGCCUGAGAACUUGGGAAGGUGGGGAAGGGUUUGCGGAAGCAGCGAUUACAAAGAGGCUCAUAAACUUUAGGGGACAAAGAUGCAAUCACUGUAAUUUCCUUAACUUAACUUUGAUCAGAGAAAUUAUCAUUCCAAAUGACAUCUUGACCUCUCCCUACACCUGCAGAAGAUGUUGAUAAAAUUCAGCCCUGCUCCUGCCGACUAAAGAGGGAGCCACCUUCUGCCUGGCUCACUGUUCAGUCAGCCCACAGAGACUGCACAAGUUCAAAACAAAAUUCCCCCAGUUCUUCUCUUCCUCUGUCUUCUUCCCUGGCCCUAAAAAUGAGAAAGACCUGAAUUUGGGGCAGACGGUCUUUCAAACAGUGGGGCAGGAGUUUGCAGAAACAGAUCCCUCAUCAGAACAAUCUUUUGGAAACAUUCCCACACAUUUCAGGGCCCCAAAAACAUCACCCUCUGUGAGAGUAAAGGAAGUUAAAAGGGGGCCCUAAAUAUAUUUAGUGACCUGGCAAGUUCACCUUUACCUGGGGCUAGGCCUCCAUUGCCAUGUCAAAGAGCCACCAAGCCCCACGUUUUGCACUGUAGAUGCAUCUGAGUCACUGAGAAAAUUCCCAUGGAGCGGCUCAAUAAAAAAAGAUCAACCAUGAUAAAGACCUUGCCUUUUAUUUCCCUGCUUCAACCAAAUUGCUCCCCAGGCGCUUUAGAUUUAGAAGCUCUACUAAUCAACCUUAUAAACAGCAGCCCAGCCACUGCAUAGAAAUUACUUUGUAUAGCUCCUAAGCGAAAUUACCCCAGGGGAUAGAAGAUGCCCAAGGCUUUAACAAUCACACCAUAACACAGCCUCAGUAUGAGAAUAGAGGACAAGCACACUUUGACAUCCCAAUUGAAACUCCGGGCUGAAUCCGACAUAGAAGAAUGUAAUUACCUUUCCUAGUUUGACGGUGCACUGAAGAAACUGGAGAAGCGGAAUACCUAUUAGGUUCCCACUAAUCCUCCUCCUAAAUUCAAAGCAGGGCUAGUCCCUGGAAUUCAUUUCUGAGUAUCCUUACUCUCUGCUAUUGUUAAAUAGCUCAAUUGAUAAGUCCUUCCAGCUAAUAAUGUUUUCCACGGAGCUCACCCCCUCCUCUUUCCCAGCAGCUCAAAGCACUUUACAAAUAUCACCUCAUUAUUCUUUAUAACACUCAAGUGAGCCUGAUAGGUGGAAAGGUUAAUUAUCUUCUCCUUCCCAAUAGGGGAAAUAGACAAAGGAAGGAGAAGUGACUCGCUGAAGCCAGCAAAGCAGAGGCAGAACUGGAACUAAAACUCAGCCAUUCUCCUGACUCCAAACACACACAUGUCCUAUGUCAGCUUGUAAAGCUGUUCUGCUGACAGGGCAGGAUUUUCUCGGCGUGGGCUGUGUUGUAAUCAACAGGUCUGCAGAACUGGGGCACCAGGCUGGAGGGGAAAGGGCAUGAGUCGAAAUGGGGAGGCCCCACUCAAACAGCCUUCACUAGUAUGGACCAGUUUCUUUACCUCCGAAUCUCAGUGUCCUCCUCGGAAAAGGAGGUGUGUAGAUUAUAGGAUCUUUCAGGUUCCUCCCAGCUCUUAGGUAAUUGGUGAAGUGAGAGUUUCAAAAGAGGGUUCUAUUAUUCACCAGCCCCUUGUGAUCACGUGGGCCUCAUUCCUCUUGUAAGCCUGAAAUAGCAUCUUUGUUUAUAGAGUGCCCUAUGUCAUCCACUGUCCACCCAGUGGGGAUCAAAUCAUUCAGUUCAAAGUGGCAAAUGGGAGAGAGAGUCCUAUAGGGCAUCAAGGCCAAGCACUAAAGAGAUAUGGAGACAGGCAGGGAGCAGGAAGACAGAAGACUAGAAGGGUCAUAAAAGGAAGAAUUGGCAAACAACAUCUUGAGCUGUGCCUUGGUCCUCACCAGGGCACCCCCUACAUUCCAAGGAACCUAUGACAAGCCUUCCGAAGCAUAAGAAGAUUCCAAAAAAACAGGGUUUGCUUGGGUUUUUCUAAAUACAGGAUUUACUUGCCAACCCCAAAACCCAAGUGAACAAUGCCCCAAUGUACCCUGUAGUGGUGGUUUUCCAUUUAAACAGAAUUUGAUUUUAAUGAAAUAACAUUGAUGUACCUUCCUCAAGUUAAUUAAAACCAGAUUAUACAGGUGGUGCCAUAGUUUGUAAUUUGUAUUGCUUGAGCCAGAUAAACCUGAGCCUUUAGAAAACCUGUAGUAUUUCAUCUCUCUGAUUUUCUACACUUUCUCUUCCUAAAUGAUGCUUUGCUACUCCUCAUUUGCCAUAAAGUGAGUUGGAGAGAGAGGACAUUUAGUAAAACCAACAUUUAUUUGUAGGGGAAGCAGCCCCCGCAACCAGAAUAAUGACCUUGGAAAUGGUUUUGUGUGAUGGGGCGAUUGCAGUGACUGGAUAUAAAGGACUGACUGUGCAGCUGCCAGAAAGAAACACAUUUUUGUAAUAUCUGAGUUGUUUCUAUUGGCCUGGUCUGCCUUGCAUUCACCAUGGGAACUGAGUCAACAAGUUUGCUUGCUUUUCUUUCAUACAGAGCAUUUUUUUUCCACAUACAGGGUAAAAGGAAUAAAGAAUAGAUAUCCCCUGAAAGUCAAAGGCUUCAUGAUAAAAAAAAAAUGGGUAUAAUGUUAUUAUUUAUCUCCAAGUCCAGUUGUAAAGGCAACUGGUUGUAAGCUCUAUUCCAUCUGCUCUCUCUGAGGACCUCAGCCUGCCCUUGUGGAACCUUCUUUCUGGGAAGUUAAAGAAUUUCCAGGAUUAGCUCAAGUCCUGAGGCUGCCAACUGUGACAAUCUACAAAGGUCUCUUAGGUAAUAAUUCAGAUCCCAUUUCUGCUCAAGGCCAAGAUGGUCCCCAGCGAGUUGGAAAUAUUCUUGUUUCCUGGACCUAGACCAUAAAGUGAGUUGACCUUCCAACAUCUUGGAAGGGCAAGCUCAGCAUCUCCGCAUACUAAAGACUCAACAACUGAUAUAUAUGUGACAACACAAAUGAAACUGAAUUUAAAAAGCAGGGGUUAAGGGUCAUCAGAAACAAUGUGAAAAAGAAAUGCUACAUGAAAAGAAAGAAGAAAGGAAAGAAGAAAGAAAGAAAGAAAGAAAGAAAGAAAGAAAGAAAGAAAGAAAGACAAGUCUCAUAAAUUUAAUAAUUUAUCUCCCACCUAAUUCUGGAGGAAAGUAUCUUGUGAACAUAUCCUAAACUGAACUUUUGAAUUCUCCAAAAGAAAGCCAAGUUUCCAAUGCUGAUUAGAUAAAAUGCCAAAUUCCUUUCACCAUUGCAAUCCCAAGUUGGGAAAGAAUGAAUCAAUACUCUCAGCUUGUCAGGUGUCUUGGAGACAAGUACGUCUUUAGAUCCUACCAGGGACUGCAUUAGUGUAAUGAGGUCUAGAGGACACCCUAAUCCUUCCUCUGACGCUCUUUCUCUAUGUAUCUCAGUAGUGCAGACAUCUGAGUAGUUGGUGAAACACUAAAGUAAGCUUCUAACCCAGCUCUGUGACUAACUCAUUCUGUGACCUCCUUAAGCCUCAGUUUCCCCAACUGAAAAAUGAAGUAUGACCACAGGGCCUCUAAUAUCCCUUCCAACUCUUAAAUAUCCUACUAUUGUAUCUCUGCAUAGAUUUGCUCCAUCACUUUUCCCAGCCACAGUAUAUUCUCUACCUUUCAGUUUCAUUCAAUGCUGGUCUGUCUCCAAGGGUCCCAGACAGUCAGUGUCUGAGGAGUCUCAGGCUAUAAAUUCAAACCUUACUGACUAAUAGGAAUAUUUACUUCUCUCAUCCCUGCAGUGUAAACUCAAUGUCAGAACACUAGUGUUCCAGGUGACCUCACUCAGACAAAUCCAAUGGCAUAUGCCAAUAGAUACAAUCCUAAAUGGGUAAGGAUGAAGACCCCAAAUGUGAAUAUUUAGCAAGUAAACCAAAAUGAUAACAGGCUAAGCUCACAGUAUGAACAUCUAGGAAUAAAUGAAUAGCUUUUAAAAUAAAUGACCAGAACUUCGAGGCGUAGAUUUUUCCACUACUCAAGAUUUGCAAUCUAGUUAUGACCUAGCUCAGCAACUAUAUCCACAACAAUGGAUUUCCACAAUGUUAGUUGAGGAAAUUUUAGGAACAGUCAGCAACUCCAAAAAACUUUUCAUUCAAGGAUUCCAAAAUGUUAUGUAAGUAUUAUUUCUUAUGAUCCCAAACAGAUGUGGAGAUGAGGCUCUUCGUCUGAGAAAUAAGGAACAUUUUACAGACUUGUCUCAGAUUAUAGAGUAAGCCAAGAGUUGAACAGAGACUCUAACAAGCCAUUCUCAGAAUUAUUCAGUUCCUAAUCUGUUACAUAUUCGCAGAAUACCUAGGUUUAAAACAGUAGAGAGUGAUUUAGAAGAUUCAUUGAGAAACAAGAGGCCCAACUUGGUCUUGAUUACCAGAUUUCCCUAGCAAUCAGUGAUCCAUUUGUUCGCUACCUUUAUUUGGAAGUCUUUUGGAAGCCUGACUGAGACGGAUCAAAUCUACAUCGGACAAAAUGAUUAAUAUAAAUACUUAUGGGUACUUAAAAAAUAAUUUUCUACUUUUCUGUAUUACCUAUUAGUCAAUUCAGAAUAUAGCCUCAUUACAACGACCAACAUUUAGAACACAUUGGUAGAUCUGAUAUAUCAAACAACAAAGCAAAUCACAAAGUAGUAUGCACACUAUGGUCUAAUUUUGGAAAAAAAGUUAACAUAAGUAUAUACAUAGAAAAGUGGCUAGAAGGACAAACACUGACAUAUUAAUGUAGUAGGAUUAUAAUUUUUAUGUUUCUUCUUGGGAGCUAUCUAUAUUUUCUAUGGGUUAAUAAAACAGCAUGAAUAAACUUCAUAAACAUAACAUUGAGUAAAAGAAAAUAGUACCAAAGAGAACCUGCUAUAUGACUCCAUUUAUAUAAAGUUCAAAAACAGGCAAAACUAAUCCAUGGUUGUAGAAGUCCAGAUAGUAGUUAGUUACCUUUGGGAUGAGGGUGGAGGGGUGGGAUGGGGUCAUGACAGGAAGGAGGAGCUUCCAUGGGCGCUAUUAAUGUUAUGUUUCUUAAUCUGGGUGCUGGUUACAUGUGUGCUCAGUGAGAAAGUUCAUGGAGCUAUACACUACGAUGUACACACUUUUUUGUUUACAUAUUAUACUUCAUUUAAAAAGUUACUUAAAAAAACAAAACAACUGAAUCCAGAGGCUUCCUCACACAUAUUGUCAAGAAGUCUAGAAGAAGGACUCUUUUUGGGGACGGGGAGAGCCAUAUUUCCAUAGUUCCAUUUCUGAAUUCUGAAAUAUGGCUCCAUAAAAAUGGGAAGAGAAAUACAAAUUUACAUCAUUGAAGGCUCCCGACUUGUGAAUAACAACAUCGUUUGCCAUCUCCCUUGACAACAUGGUAUUAAUGGCGACUCUGAAAAUCCAAGUUUUCAUUCAACUUAGACUCACUAUAAGGGUUAAUCAUUCAGCCUGGACCAGAUGCAGCCACGCUGGGAGGUGCACUUCCCACAUCAGGGCUCCAUUCAUGAAAACAAGCUAAAAGUGGCUGAGGCUGCUAGAAAGGAAGCUCUGUGAGGGCAGGGACUUUGUAUCCUCACCGCCUGAUGUAAGACCUAGCAUAGAAUUGGGGUUCAGUAAGUAUUUUUGAAGUGAGUGAAUAUAUACAUUCACUUUCAAAAAGAAGUGUGUGUGUUCGGCUCAUGUAGAAAUUAUGAGGGACAGUAAAGGAGAGAGAAAAGGAUGAAAUAGAAUGAUAUAUACUUGAUUGGUGAUAUAUGUCUCUGAUUGUCCCUUCAGUGUUUCUCAACUAAAUCAGGCUAACUAAGGCAUGGGAAGAUUUAUGUUGCUGUAGAUGUUUAGGAAAACCAACUAGAAGAACAACACUGUCCAGGCUGAGUGUGGUGGCUCAUGCCUGUAAUCCCAGCACUUUGGGAGGCCAAGGUGGGUAGAU
This 11794-nucleotide long non-coding RNA is filed under the name Homo sapiens (human). Its description in RNAcentral is "HSALNT0377661". The record is from RNAcentral. Lineage: Eukaryota; Metazoa; Chordata; Mammalia; Primates; Hominidae.